Molecule: ribosomal RNA, 460 nt
Filed under: uncultured bacterium
Lineage: Bacteria
Description: bacterial SSU rRNA
Rfam family: Bacterial small subunit ribosomal RNA
Source: RNAcentral
AGUGAACGCUGGCGGCGUGCUUAACACAUGCAAGUCGAACGAGAACGGAUUAUAGCUUGCUAUAAUUGUCAGCUAAGUGGCGCACGGGUGAGUAAUGUAUAGAUAACCUGCCCUCUAGAAAGGAAUAACAGUUGGAAACGACUGCUAAUGCCCUAUAUGCCUUUAAUACAUAAGUAUGCAAGGGAAACGCUUUAGUGCUAGAGGAUGGGUCUGUAUGGUAUCAGUUAGUUGGUGAGGUAAUGGCUCACCAAGACUAUGACGCCUAACUGGUUUGAGAGGAUGAUCAGUCACACUGGAACUGAGACACGGUCCAGACUCCUACGGGAGGCAGCAGUGGGGAAUAUUGCACAAUGGACGAAAGUCUGAUGCAGCAACGCCGCGUGGAGGAUGACACAUUUCGGUGCGUAAGCUCCUUUUAUAUAGGAAGAUAAUGACGGUACUAUAUGAAUAAGCACCGGCU